This is a non-coding RNA of Callorhinus ursinus (northern fur seal), 1145 nucleotides long. The record is from RefSeq and is a predicted model, not a curated record. NCBI's taxonomy places the organism in Eukaryota, Metazoa, Chordata, Mammalia, Carnivora, Otariidae.
UUGGAUGCUUAACCGACUGAGCCACCCACUGUUUCAUAAGUGUAUCCUGCAAAAUCUUAUUUCUUAAGGUAUCUCCAUGUAUAAAUUAAGUAGGCAUCAUCAUCUCUAGUUUACAGUCGGAGAAAUUAAAUUGAAGAGAAGGUAAGUGCAUCAGAUGUGACUGGCUGCUUCUCCAAAUCUAUAUCCCCCUAUACUCUCUCCCUCACACCCUUCUUUCUUUUGGCAGAGCUCCGAUUUUGUUCUCAUAUUUACUGGCAAGCUAUGCCAGGGACUACUCUUAGCUCCAUGAGUAAGUCUUGAUUAGUUUGAAUCAAUCACAGUAAUUUCAGUUCCUUUGCCAACGACUGGUUUAGGUGAUACACUUUGGGCCAAUGAGACAUGAGAGAAAGCUGAUGCAAGACUUUUAGAAAGAGUUUCUUUGCUUUUACAAAUAGACACAAGAAGAAACUUCCAAAAUGCUUCUCAACGUGGUCACAUGUGUGCGUGACGCUUGGAGCUCAGCAGCCAUUUUUGCCACCAUGGGAGGAGUUAGCCAAAUGUUGAAGUGGCAGAGGAGAGAGAUGGAAGGAAUCCGAUCCUUGAUGAUAUGAAUAAGCUGCUGAGUUAAUCAACACUGGAACUCCCCACCUUAAUCUUGUUAUUUAUGUGAGAUCAUAAAUUUCCUUAUUCUUUAAAGCACUUUAAAAUUUUCUGUACUUGCAGCCAAAAAACACCUCAUUUUGGGAGGCACUGGAGAAAAUGAAGAGAGACACAGAUAACAGAGUGACAACUGCCUAGGGAGUUACAACUGGAAGGAUGGUGAAAACUGUUUUUUGGGCAUGACCAUCUGAAACUAACAGGACAUCUGACUUUGGAAUCCAGAUACCACACUUGGAGGAGCCAAGAAGAAGAAACCACAUGAAGAUGCUAUGUGUGGGGGUCGGGCCAUCAGCCCCAGCUAAAAUCCCAGCAGACAGCCAGCCUCAAUGCCAGGAGUAAGACAUUCCCUGGUGACCGCAGCCAUACAGUCACCCUUAGCUUUUGAGUCUUCCCAGCUGAGGCCCCAGACACUGUGGGACAGAAACCAGUCAUCCCUAUGUGUCCUAUCUGAAUUCUUGACCCAUAGGGUCCAUAAGCAUAAUAAAAUGAUGGUUUCAUGCCACUAA